This 253-nucleotide ribosomal RNA is filed under the name uncultured bacterium. Its description in RNAcentral is "partial 16S ribosomal RNA". It matches the Rfam family "Bacterial small subunit ribosomal RNA", at positions 524 to 776 of the family's 1533-position model. The record is from RNAcentral.
UACGGAGGGCGCAAGCGUUGUUCGGAAUCAAUGGGCGUAAAGCGCGUGUAGGCGGGCUUGUCAGUCGGGUGUGAAAUACCGGAGCUCAACUCCGGAACUGCAUUCGAUACUGCCAGGCUAGAGCCCCGGAGAGGGUGGUGGAAUUCCCGGUGUAGAGGUGAAAUUCGUAGAUAUCGGGAGGAACACCAGCGGCGAAGGCGGCCACCUGGACGGUGACUGACGCUGAGACGCGAAAGCGUGGGGAGCAAACAGG